CUUGCUCUCUGGGUGACGAGCGGCGGACGGGUGAGUAAUGUCUGGGAAACUGCCUGAUGGAGGGGGAUAACUACUGGAAACGGUAGCUAAUACCGCAUGACCUCGCAAGAGCAAAGUGGGGGACCUUCGGGCCUCACGCCAUCGGAUGUGCCCAGAUGGGAUUAGCUAGUAGGUGGGGUAAUGGCUCACCUAGGCGACGAUCCCUAGCUGGUCUGAGAGGAUGACCAGCCACACUGGAACUGAGACACGGUCCAGACUCCUACGGGAGGCAGCAGUGGGGAAUAUUGCACAAUGGGCGCAAGCCUGAUGCAGCCAUGCCGCGUGUGUGAAGAAGGCCUUAGGGUUGUAAAGCACUUUCAGCGAGGAGGAAGGCGCUGUAGUUAAUAGCUGCAGCGAUUGACGUUACUCGCAGAAGAAGCACCGGCUAACUCCGUGCCAGCAGCCGCGGUAAUACGGAGGGUGCAAGCGUUAAUCGGAAUUACUGGGCGUAAAGCGCACGCAGGCGGUUUGUUAAGUCAGAUGUGAAAUCCCCGAGCUUAACUUGGGAACUGCAUUUGAAACUGGCAAGCUAGAGUCUUGUAGAGGGGGGUAGAAUUCCAGGUGUAGCGGUGAAAUGCGUAGAGAUCUGGAGGAAUACCGGUGGCGAAGGCGGCCCCCUGGACAAAGACUGACGCUCAGGUGCGAAAGCGUGG
RNAcentral lists this ribosomal RNA (692 nucleotides) under Rahnella aquatilis. RNAcentral describes it as "bacterial SSU rRNA". It matches the Rfam family "Bacterial small subunit ribosomal RNA", at positions 75 to 764 of the family's 1533-position model. Lineage: Bacteria; Pseudomonadati; Pseudomonadota; Gammaproteobacteria; Enterobacterales; Yersiniaceae. The record is from RNAcentral.